UAUUAAAAAUCCCACUCAUUUGUGCUAUUAAGAACUGACAUGGCUAACAAAAUCACCAAAAAGUGACAUGUGACAUGUCACAUAUACUUACAACGUACAGGGACUAACUUUUAACAGCAGAAAUGGAUGAAAUUUUUAACA
Molecule: non-coding RNA, 141 nt
Organism: Gossypium arboreum
Lineage: Eukaryota; Viridiplantae; Streptophyta; Magnoliopsida; Malvales; Malvaceae
Source: Rfam